This 468-nucleotide ribosomal RNA is filed under the name uncultured bacterium. Its description in RNAcentral is "partial 16S ribosomal RNA". It matches the Rfam family "Bacterial small subunit ribosomal RNA", at positions 28 to 507 of the family's 1533-position model. The record is from RNAcentral.
GACGAACGCUGGCGGCGUGCUUAACACAUGCAAGUCGAACGGUGAAGCGAGUGCUUGCACUCGUGGAUCAGUGGCGAACGGGUGAGUAACACGUGAGUAACCUGCCCAUCACUCUGGAUAAGCACUGGAAACGGUGUCUAAUACUGGAUACGACCAACCCUUGCAUGGGGUGUUGGUGGAAAGAUUUCUCGGUGAUGGAUGGACUCGCGGCCUAUCAGCUUGUUGGCGGGGUAAUGGCCCACCAAGGCGACGACGGGUAGCCGGCCUGAGAGGGUGACCGGCCACACUGGGACUGAGACACGGCCCAGACUCCUACGGGAGGCAGCAGUGGGGAAUAUUGCGCAAUGGGCGAAAGCCUGAUGCAGCGACGCCGCGUGAGGGAUGACGGCCUUCGGGUUGUAAACCUCUUUCAGCAGGGAAGAAGCGAAAGUGACGGUACCUGCAGAAGAAGCACCGGCUAACUACGUG